GACGAACGCUGGCGGCGUGCUUAUCACAUGCAAGUCGAACGGUGAAGCGCCUUCCUUUUUGGUGGGUGUGGAUGAGUGGCGAACGGGUGAGUAACACGUGAGUAACCUGCCCCCUUCUUCUGGAUAACCGCAUGAAAGUGUGGCUAAUACGGGAUAUUCUGGGUCUGUCGCAUGAUGGGUCUGGGAAAGAUAUUGUUUCGGUGGGGGAUGGGCUCGCGGCCUAUCAGCUUGUUGGUGGGGUGAUGGCCUACCAAGGCGGUGACGGGUAGCCGGCCUGAGAGGGUGGACGGUCACACUGGGACUGAGACACGGCCCGGACUCCUACGGGAGGCAGCAGUGGGGAAUAUUGCACAAUGGGCGCAAGCCUGAUGCAGCGACGCCGCGUGAGGGAUGGUGGCCUUCGGGUUGUGAACCUCUUUCGCCAGUGAAGCAGGCCUGCCUCGUUUGUGGGUGGGUUGACGGUAGCUGGAUAAGAAGCGCCGGCUAACUACGUG
RNAcentral lists this ribosomal RNA (494 nucleotides) under uncultured bacterium. RNAcentral's name for it is "partial 16S ribosomal RNA". It matches the Rfam family "Bacterial small subunit ribosomal RNA", at positions 28 to 507 of the family's 1533-position model. The record is from RNAcentral.